RNAcentral lists this transfer RNA (72 nucleotides) under Phrynosoma platyrhinos (Desert horned lizard). RNAcentral describes it as "tRNA-OTHER". Lineage: Eukaryota; Metazoa; Chordata; Lepidosauria; Squamata; Phrynosomatidae. The record is from RNAcentral.
GAGAGCGUGGUGUAGUGGUUUGAGUGUUGGACUACCACACUGAAGACCAGGGUUCGAUUCCCUGCUCAGCCA